This 2181-nucleotide long non-coding RNA is filed under the name Gallus gallus (chicken). RNAcentral's name for it is "long non-coding RNA NONGGAT007821". Lineage: Eukaryota; Metazoa; Chordata; Aves; Galliformes; Phasianidae. The record is from RNAcentral.
AAGGAGAAGAAACCCAGGAUCAUUGUGUUUGAAGCUGGGAGACAUGUCCUGAAGUCCCUCUGGCUGAAUAACUGUGACCAUCCCACCACCACCGCAGAAGGAAACAGCAAGCUUUUUUGUGAAUCCCUUUCCUAGCAGCAAGCCAGGAAAAACGGAGCGUUGGCUCUUGCUUGGACUGUCACACGCUUGAAUUCAAGCAAUGUUUUCUCCUUUGGCAGAGAAGGAGCGAAGCCACCCUCUGCUUUGGAAGCAGCCUCUGCUUCCCUUCCUGCCUUUCCCUGAGGAUUCCGGGGGUGCCAGCUGGGUCUCAGGGGGCAGCAAGCAGCUCUGUGGGGCUGGUGUCUCUGUGGCCAUGUUCCUUUGGGCAGCUCCCUAUGCGUGACACAGCACAGAGGGAGUCCCCAGAGUUGAAGAAGCCUCGGGACAGUGCUGGCUGACAUAGAGUUUGGACUCAGUGAUCCUUGCGGGUCCCUUCCAGCUCGGGAUAUUCUGUGGUUCUAGGAUCUGAGGGAAGGAGCACUUGUUACCAGGAAGCACGGGUCUCACAGAUGCCCUUUGAAGGUGCUGGGCAGGGCUGAAGUGCAGAGUUCCUGCAGCAGGGAUGCAGCGGAAGCCUGGAGGAAAAGCAGCUAUGGAGAUAACGGCAGCAGUGACAAUCAGAAGAGGUGGGAUCGAGCUCAGCUCCGAGACAACCCGUCGGCUGAAGCAGACAUCUGUUUCCGUGGAAAAAGUCAUCUGUUGCUGUGAUGAGCCUUUGCCGCUCCUUGCCUUGGGGGAGCUGGAAGGAAGGGAAGGAGGGAUGGAGGUGGCUGAUGUGCUGCUGAUCGGGCCUGGCUGUGCCUGAGCCAAAGACAAAGCACCUGUCAGCUCUGCUGUGGGCAGCCCUGCUUUGCUUCAGAGCCACACCUUUCACACAAGCACGAGCAUCCUCAAACGCACCCGAGCUCCUGAUGUGCUGCCAAGGGUUUCUGCCAGGCUCUGCUUCCAUCGUGCGCGAGCACCAGGGCAGCCUGGAGAGUAAACAAUGUCCUUUAAUAGGAACAGCGGGCAGCUGCUUCUAGUGCAGGCAGAAAGGAGCGUUCCCCAUUCAGAGUUUGCACGGGGGAAGCAGGAAGGCAGAAGGGGAACCGAAAUGCCCUGAUUUGGAAGUAAGUCUCUAGUAGAAGGGCUGCUGUCUCGUGUGCUACGGCCAGGGGAGAUAUUUUUAUUCAGUGGGAAAUAUUCUGUGUCUGCUCAGAGCAGAGCCUCCAGCCUGAGUCUCCCAGCCCUCAGAGAGUGUGACCAUGACCUAUGGCAGGCACAGGAGCUGCUGCCAGCUCCUCAGGGCCUCUGUGUGGGGCUGGGGCUGCAGCCCUCUCCCCAUUGCCCUUCCCCUGUCCUGAGGCCUAACCUGCUCCCUGCAGCCAUCCCAUUUCCUGUGGCCUACCUUGCUCCCUGCACCCUGCAGGACCGGGAAGGGAGAUGCCAAAGUGUGAACAAGAAUGCAAGCAGCAAAAACAGUGAAGUGUGUGGGCAUCGCUCCCAUUUCCAUGAGAACGAGGAAAAGAAGGAGAUGGGGAGCCUGGCUCCAGCUGUUGGUUUCCUGCUGCACUGUCACCCACUGAUGGGCUCCCUCCUUGGCUCAUCAUGCUUUUCUCCCCUUUCCUCAUGCAGGCUAUUCUCAGUGGAGUCCAGCUGCUUGUCCUGCUCACUGCAAGCCCCAGGCUUUGAGGGCAAAGCACCUGCAGCUGGGGGGCUGGGAGAGGGCCUGCUGCAGGACUGUCAUCAUUAAGUGAUCCCUUCUCAAGGUUAGUGUUAAUUUGAUGUGAAUGAUGGGAGCUGAAAGGCCCAUCAGCAGGGCAUUUUGAACAAAUCGAGGUGAUGGCUCUCUGGAGGAGCUGUUUGCGGUGGAGACUUCAAUCUGGAGCUAAAGGGUUCCCACGGUAUCUGCAGUCGGCUUUCCCCAGACAAGUCCCAACUCGGAGGCAGUUGCACAGCAGCAAUCCGACCCAACGCCGUCCCUCUGCAAGGAUGUCCCACUGGUGUCCUGCUGUCCAUCCCGCAGCAUGGGAGGGCUCAGCUGGCCGUGCCAACAGCCCCAACCAUUUGCCAUGGCUUGGGGAUCUCUGAGCACACAGGAUGCUCAGAACAGGAGGAAAACAAACACGGAUUGCUGGGUAGGUUAUGUUUGCUCACCUGCUG